GACGAACGCUGGCGGCGUGCUUAACACAUGCAAGUCGAACGGAAAGGCCCUGCUUGCAGGGUACUCGAGUGGCGAGCGGGUGAGUAACACGUGGGUGAUCUGCCCUGCACUUCGGGAUAAGCUUGGGAAACUGGGUCUAAUACCGGAUAGGAACCAUCUUUAGUGUGGUGGUUGGAAAGUUUUUUCGGUGUAGGAUGAGCUCGCGGCCUAUCAGCUUGUUGGUGGGGUAAUGGCCUACCAAGGCGGCGACGGGUAGCCGGCCUGAGAGGGUGUACGGCCACAUUGGGACUGAGAUACGGCCCAGACUCCUACGGGAGGCAGCAGUGGGGAAUAUUGCACAAUGGGCGCAAGCCUGAUGCAGCGACGCCGCGUGGGGGAUGAAGGCCUUCGGGUUGUAAACUCCUUUCGCUAGGGACGAAGCUUUGUUGUGACGGUACCUAGAUAAGAAGCACCGGCUAACUACGUG
This 466-nucleotide ribosomal RNA is filed under the name uncultured bacterium. RNAcentral's name for it is "partial 16S ribosomal RNA". It matches the Rfam family "Bacterial small subunit ribosomal RNA", at positions 28 to 507 of the family's 1533-position model. The record is from RNAcentral.